Molecule: long non-coding RNA, 1953 nt
Organism: Brassica napus (rape)
Lineage: Eukaryota; Viridiplantae; Streptophyta; Magnoliopsida; Brassicales; Brassicaceae
Exons: 2
Source: RefSeq, a predicted model, not a curated record
AACUUUUAAAUGGACAAAGACGAUUUCUAAUCACAAUCUGGUUUCAUCUUUUGUCUUAAUGGAAGAGCGGUGAGUUGGAAGAGUUCCAAACAAAGCACCAUAGUAUAGUCUCAAUGAAUGCAAAUGUUGUUGAUCCAUUAACCAAGCCUCUUCCAUGGCCUAAGUAUGAGAGUCAUACUGCAGCCACGGGUAUUAAAUAUCUUAAGAUGUGAUCUUGAUUUAAGUGGGAGGCUUUAUGUUUAUGAUAUGAUGUUCAUAUUGACAUACAUUUGAUUAUGUAUUCAAACUAAUGAAAUUGUUUCAGAUUUAUUUGAUUAUUGGAUAAUUAAAUAACAGUCCCAAACUAAUUUAUAUCAUUCUUAUAGGUCAUCAAGUACGUGACUUGAUCAUGAAACCCUAUAUGUGAGAGAUGUUAUAAAUUAUUGAGGUCCAUAGUCAAUGUUGUUAACUUGGGACAUUAAUAACCGAGAAUGACUAUUAUGUGAGGUGAUUGAUGACUAAGUUUCAUGGAGUCAUUCAAUAUGUAGUAUUGAAGUCAAUCACAUGGAUAUGUGUUAGAGAACACAUGAUCGGACUGACCCGAUUUGAGAACUCUGCAAGAUUGUUAUAUGAGUGUCAUAAGAGUUUCUCAUUACGACUAUAGAGUAUAGUCCUUAGACCUGAGUUCGUCAUGAUUCUUUACUGGUGGAUUCGGUCACUUUGACCUUGUCAAACGUCAGCCGUAACUGGUGAUUAUAAAGGCAUUGAUUAGGUGUUCUAUGAAGUUUGUAAGGAACAUGGAUGGAACAAGAUGGAAUUUUUCCCUCCCAUAUAACGGGAGAUAAAUAUCUCUGGACCUAUCGAAGAUGUGAUACUGAGAAAUGCAUGGCCAUGCUCAAACGAGGUGAAUGUCAGUCGUUUGUUUUUAUCAGUAUAAAUCAGAGUUCGAUAAAUGUGAUCUAGCUGAAUAAGGAUGACACUAGUUUUUGCCUUAUGCUUCUAGUACAAGUGGGAGAUUGUUGGGAAUGUCCUAAAAUCAUUUGUACUUACUCUUGUUAAAGUCGUAGCGUCGAGAUUUGACAAUCGUCUGAUUAUAAUGUUUUGCUAGAAACUGCUUAUAAUCUAUGGAUUGAGAAUCCAUUGCUAAUAUUAUAUGAUCCUAUAGGGUCACACACCUAAGCAAACUGGAUCAAUGACAUAUAUUGGGUUUUAGGAAUAAUAUAUAUAUGAUAUAUAUUAUAAGAUAUACAUAAAGAUGUAUAUACAUGAUAAUGAUAAGUAAUUAUCAUUUGACCAUCACGUGCAUGCAUGGGCCUGGCCCUUUAAUGAAUUAGGUUAAUCACUUGUUCAUUAUAUAAACAUGUGCCGUGAUGUUUUGAGGAUUAACAUAUCUCACGUGAAACCCUAAUAGCAAUAGAGACAAAAAGUUUGUCAUAAUUGAUCUCGACGGCACUAGCAUCCCGUAUCGAUCCAGUUUAUGUGUGUGUGGAUACCGGUAGAGGCACGACGUUUGGAGUGCUAGAAAUCUCGACUUGGUUUGUUCAUCUUUCCGCUGCGAUUAAUCAGACGGGUGUUAUGUCUCAACCGCAACAGCACUGGGGUUACAUGCAACCGCAGCAGCCGCAUCAUCACAGUUUGACGACAACGAGGACUGGAGUUUUCAACAGGCAGCACGAGCAAAAUUAUCAAAUGGAUGCUGAGUUUGAGUCGAGGAUGAGUAACAGUUCUGCGUAUGGUGAUGAGUUGAUGUACAUGACGACACAUGCUUCUCAGCCGCUGCCACAACCGCCUCAAAUGCAGGAGAAGCAAACGAGCGACGAGGAGUUUGCGUAGGAGUACAUGUUCAUCUUGUAGUUAGUAAAAGAAGAGAGCAAAAAUUAUCAAAAAUGAGUUCAAGGACCACUUGUAAUAGUUUAGGUUUAUUCUUUCCGUUAUAAUUCACAUUGGCACAGAGCCUUCAUAUAUACAACAACA